UUUCUUUGGUAUUGUUUAAAGGUGGUUAAAAUGUCAUAAGAGCUGUCAUAAAAGCUAUUAUAAAACUAAUUUACUUGUGUGUAAUAUGGAAUGACUGCUGACUUCCUUUUCUGAUCAACAUCUAGGAUUGUGAUCUAUGGGGAUGACAUGCUUGACGCCAUCGUGCCAAACUCUGCCAAACCAUUCAACUUCCAGAUUGCAUACGGGCUUUCUGAAGAAGAUGCCCUGAUGGUGAGCGACCAUUACCCUGUGGAGGUAGAGCUGAAAAGAAAAACACCAACAGAACAGAGCAGAGCAGGGAACAGAAGGCACACAGACAGCAGAGUUGGGGACAGAUAUGCAGGGACAGACUGGCAGAGACAGGGAGUCUCAGGAAUUGCUCUUGAGAAAAUUUCCUGUAAUUGUCCCCUCCAAAGUUGAUAUCAGAUUUUCACCCCUGAGCUGGUGGAACAAUCAAGAAGUCUGGAAAGAAGGUAUUUGGCAUUUGAAGACCAUGCACUCAUAUGUUGCUGAAUCACAGCCCCCUGUGAAAUUUACAUUUACAUUACAUUUAAGUCAUUUAGCAGACGCUCUUAUCCAGAGCGACUUACAAAUUGGUGCAUUCACCUUAUGAUAUCCAGUGGAACAACCACUUUACAAUAGUGCAUCUAAAUAUUUUAAGGGGAUAUCCACUUCCUGUCAGAAUCUGUCUCAGGGUUUUGCCUGCCAAAUGAGUUCUGUUAUACUCACAGACACCAUUCAAACAG
Salmo salar (Atlantic salmon) is the source of this 746-nucleotide non-coding RNA. The record is from RefSeq and is a predicted model, not a curated record. NCBI's taxonomy places the organism in Eukaryota, Metazoa, Chordata, Actinopteri, Salmoniformes, Salmonidae.